CCCCUAGUAACUGCGAGUGAAGCGGGAAAAGCUCAAAUUUAAAAUCCUUCGGGAAUUGUAAUCUAGAGAAGUGUUUUCGGUCGUCGCCUCGGACAAGUCCUUUGGAACAAGGCGUCAUAGAGGGUGAGAAUCCCGUCCUUGCCGAGCUACCAAUGUCUAUGUGAUGCACUCUCGAAGAGUCGAGUUGUUUGGGAAUGCAGCUCAAAAUGGGUGGUAAACUCCAUCUAAAGCUAAAUAUUGGCGAGAGACCGAUAGCGAACAAGUACCGUGAGGGAAAGAUGAAAAGCACUUUGGACAGAGAGUUAAACAGUACGUGAAAUUGUUGAAAGGGAAACGCUUGAAGUCAGUCGCGUUGCAGGGACUCAGCCGCAAGGUGCAUUUCUCGGUAACGGGUCAACAUCAGUUUCGAGCGCGGGAAAAGGGCUUGAGGAAUGUGGCAACCUCGGUUGUGUUAUAGCCUCCUGUCGUACACCGCGCCCGGGACUGAGGACCGMUAAUAGGAUG
This 504-nucleotide ribosomal RNA is filed under the name Dacrymyces variisporus. Its description in RNAcentral is "eukaryotic LSU rRNA". It matches the Rfam family "Eukaryotic large subunit ribosomal RNA", at positions 77 to 607 of the family's 3401-position model. Lineage: Eukaryota; Fungi; Basidiomycota; Dacrymycetes; Dacrymycetales; Dacrymycetaceae. The record is from RNAcentral.